This is a long non-coding RNA of Mus musculus (house mouse), 1919 nucleotides long. RefSeq annotates it as predicted gene, 53990. The record is from RefSeq and is a predicted model, not a curated record. NCBI's taxonomy places the organism in Eukaryota, Metazoa, Chordata, Mammalia, Rodentia, Muridae. The transcript is spliced from 2 exons.
ACAGUAUCUAGGGAAGGAGACAGAGAGCCCCUGGAAAAUGAACAGAGCCACAUACAAAGAUCUCUCCUUCAACAGAGAGUGUUAAAAUUAUGCCAGGAGGAUUGAGAUGGAUCAGCAGGGAAAGGCAUCUAUAGCCAAGCCAGAUGUCUUGAGUUCAAUCCUUAGGCCUGCAUUUGGAAAGAGAACCAUUCCCCACUAUUUCCCUUUGACUUCCAUACAAUAUGGGCAUGAAUAAAUGAGUGUAAAAAAAUUAAGGGAAUUAAGAAAGGAAACCAUCAAACUUCAGAACUCUCCAUAGAUGGAAUUAAGCUGUAUAAUAACCAGGAAGGCUUUCUACCUAUCCUGGCACCUACGCUUGUUCCUAGGAGCAAAGGCACUGAAACACAUUCUGUCCCACCCACGCUGCUCUGCUGUUGGUGGACAACUUGACCACCCAUGUCUCAAAUAUUUUGUCUUUCACAAAGAAUCCUUCCUUCUUGUGAAAUUCAAAUACAGCAAAUUCUAUUUUUUUUUUUUUUUGGUUUUUCGAGACAGGAUUUCUCUGUGUAGCCCUGGCUAUCCUGGCACUCACUUUGUAGACCAGGCUGGCCUCGAACUCAUCUUUUUUUUUUUUUUUUUUUUUUUUUUAAGAGUUAUUUAUUUAUUAUUAUAUGUAAGUACACUGUAGCUGUCUUCGGACACUCCAGAAGAGGGCACCAGAUUCCACUAGAGAUGGUUGUGAGCCACCAUGUGGUUGCUGAGAAUUGAACUCAGGACCUUCGGAAGAGCAGUCAGUACUCUUAACUGCUGAGCCAUCUCUCCAGCCCCAAAUACAGCAAAUUCUUAAGCAGAUUAAGGAAGAAAGUUACUUAACCAGCAACUCACUUUGGAGGAAUAUCUUGAGGGGAAGCAAAGCCAUGCCACAAGACGUUUCUCAGGUUGAGUCCGCAGGGAGACCCGAUGAAGACUUUUAGUAUGUCCAUCUAAUCCAGUAAGACAGCAGAUUAGGGAAUCGUGGAGUAAAUCAAUUCAAGCCUAAAAUGUUUGCUUUCUCCCUUAGUCCUAAGAAAGCCAGCAGCUUCUGCUGGUGUUAAUAGUAACAAUAAUGAAACUAACAUGAAAAUGUUAUUACAUUUUUAUUCGGUAUGUGCCAAUGUCUAGAGGUCAGAGGAGAACCUGAGGGAGUUGAUUUAUUCCCACCAAGUGCAUGCUACUAUUUGAAUUGUUGUCAGCCUUGGUGGCAGGCACCUGCCCCCAGUGAGCUAUUGCACUGGCCUGAAACCAACAUUUACUAAGUGGUUAACACAUGCUAGACACAUUUUAUUUAAUGAUUCAUCAAUUCAUUUAUCCCUAGACUCACCGUUGAGGACGGCAAUAAUAUUUCCCCCUGUGCAUAUAAAGUAACACAAGUGAAGAAGAUGAGCCCAGGGUUUCAGAAACCAGGACCGGCAAAGUAGUCCUAGGGCUAGGAGCAAGCCACGCACUCAAAAUGUACAGCUUUAACACUAGACAUCAGAGGCACCCAGGAUCUGGACACAGCAGAAAGCGCAGACACAAACUCCAUACCAGGCAGCAUGGGCCUAUAUGAAAAACAGUAAUAGAAAGCAAGAGAUCUGAAGUUCUGUGUUCAUCCAUGAGGAUUCUCACACUCACGUCGCCGAGGGCUCGCUCCAGACAGGAAGCUAGUUUCAUCACGCCGAGGGAGACGGCAGCAGGCUGCGAGCUUUGCAAGGCAUCAAGUAUCUCAAGAAACAACUAUUCAGAGGAAGACACACACUCGAGCUCAGAUUCAGUGAAAGAUGUUUCUCAAAGCAACAAUAAUGUUUAUUCAAUUACUAUUUCCGCACUCAAGCCUCUUAAGAUUUGAAGGUUUAAAACUUUCGGAAUAAAAAGAGUUUAUAUUGGAAAUACUAUAAUAAAGGAAAUUAUCUAACACCUAA